UGGGGAAUAUUGCACAAUGGGGGAAACCCUGAUGCAGCAACGCCGCGUGAAGGAUGAAGGUUUUCGGAUCGUAAACUUCUAUCAACAGGGACGAAACAAAUGACGGUACCUGAAUAAGAAGCCCCGGCUAACUACGUGCCAGCAGCCGCGGUAAUACGUAGGGGGCAAGCGUUAUCCGGAAUUACUGGGUGUAAAGGGAGCGUAGGCUGCACGUCAAGCCAGAUGUGAAAGCCCGGGGCUUAACCCCGUGGAUUGCAUUUGGAACUGGCGAGCUAGAGUACAGGAGAGGAAAGCGGAAUUCCUAGUGUAGCGGUGAAAUGCGUAGAUAUUAGGAAGAACACCAGUGGCGAAGGCGGCUUUCUGGACUGAAACUGACGCUGAGGCUCGAAAGCGUGGGGAGCAAACAGGAUUAGAUACC
This 418-nucleotide ribosomal RNA is filed under the name uncultured bacterium. RNAcentral describes it as "bacterial SSU rRNA". It matches the Rfam family "Bacterial small subunit ribosomal RNA", at positions 355 to 786 of the family's 1533-position model. The record is from RNAcentral.